UAAUGGUGGGAACUCCAGGGAGACUGCCGGUGAUAAACCGGAGGAAGGUGGGGACGACGUCAAGUCAUCAUGGCCCUUACGAGUAGGGCUACACACGUGCUACAAUGGCGUAUACAGAGGGCUGCCAACCAGCGAUGGUGAGCGAAUCCCAGAAAGUACGUCGUAGUCCGGAUUGGAGUCUGCAACUCGACUCCAUGAAGUCGGAAUCGCUAGUAAUCGUGAAUCAGAAUGUCACGGUGAAUACGUUCCCGGGCCUUGUACACACCGCCCGUCACACCAUGGGAGUGGGCUGCACCAGAAGUAGAUAGCUUAACCUUCGGGAGGGCGUUUACCACGGUGUGGUUCAUGACUGGGGUGAAGUCGUAACAAGGUAGCCCUAGGGGAACCUGGGGCUGGAUCACCUCCUUAC
This 409-nucleotide ribosomal RNA is filed under the name Photobacterium angustum. RNAcentral's name for it is "bacterial SSU rRNA". It matches the Rfam family "Bacterial small subunit ribosomal RNA", at positions 1126 to 1533 of the family's 1533-position model. Lineage: Bacteria; Pseudomonadati; Pseudomonadota; Gammaproteobacteria; Vibrionales; Vibrionaceae. The record is from RNAcentral.